This is a long non-coding RNA of Leptidea sinapis, 3230 nucleotides long. RefSeq lists it as uncharacterized. The record is from RefSeq and is a predicted model, not a curated record. The transcript is spliced from 2 exons. Lineage: Eukaryota; Metazoa; Arthropoda; Insecta; Lepidoptera; Pieridae.
UAUUGCGUAGACUGAGCAAACAAGUUGAGUUGUCAAUUUCUGAAGUUUCUAAGUUGACAACUCUAUUAAAUGUCAAUCUGAGUUCGAAACAUUAAAGUAAUAAUAUGUGAUCACAGAUCAGUUUACAAUUUACAUUAUUUAUUUAUUAUUGUUUGUUUUUGAGUGAAACAAAAAGAAUAUACAUAAACAUAUUAACUAAUUAAAAGUAACCAACUAUAUAUAACUAAAAAACGACUAAAGUACGGUACCUACUCAUAAUUGCACUACUUAAAUAUGGGUUAAUGUUAUUAGACUGAGAUGUAAAAUAAAACUUUACCUGACAUAGAUAAUGGAGAAGACACUCUUGGCUCCUCAGUGGCGGUGGAAUAUUGUUCCAACACUUGGAAGCAGCAUAGCUAAAACUUCCUCGAAAGGCUGCUGAACUGUGUUGUGGUAUUGUGAUUUGCAUAACAGCCUUUCGAGUAUCACAGGACCUAUGACUGGAAAACCAGGAGAGCUUUUUAUAUAAAUAAGUAGGAACCCUUGUACUUUAUUACAUCAAAGAGCAGGCAAGCUAAGUGAAGCUUACGCCUGUGUCUCAAUUUUAGGAUACAGUGUUUAUUAAGGUAUGGUGUCACAUGGGCCCUUAAUGGAAUGUUAAAGCAAAAACGAGCACACGCAUUUUGAACAUGUUGGAUAAGAUUUUGGGUUUUUCCUAAUAGACGGGGUCCAACUACUAUGUCCAUGUAGUUGAGUUUUGAGAGUAUUAGUGACUCAGCUAAUUGAACACGCAGUCUGUCAGUUCAAUAGGGUCUUAAUCGGUACAAAAUUUUCAGCCUAUAGAAGCAGUUCUGAACUGAUUGUGCAACAUGCUUCUCAAAUCGCAAGUCAGUGUCCAUUACCAGCCCUAAAUUUCUUACUUCAUAUAUUUGCUCAAUUAAUUCACCGUUAAGCCUUACUUUUUCUAAUGUAUUUAUUUUAUUUACUUGUUGCUUACUACCACAUAUCAAAUACUUGGUUUUAUCUGCAUUGAGUAGGUCAUUUUUUUUGGACCACAUUGUUAUCCUAGCUAGAUCUUCAUUAAGUUUUUUAAUGGUUUGAUCAAUGUCUGCAGGCAAGCAAGAGAUAUACACCAGUAUAUCAUCUGCAUAAAUGUGAAAAUUACAGUACUGAAUAUGGCUUUUAAUAUCGGCAGUAUAUAGAAUGAAGAGAAUUGGACCCAAUAUAGAACCCUGAGGUACUCCUCGAUUUACACUAACCUUAUUUGAAAAUAUUGUAGUCCCAUCAUUUCUCUGUAAUUUCACAUAUUGACAGCGAUUGCUCAAGUAACUCCAUAGUAUCUAAGUUUGGAAAGCAGCAAAGUGGUAUUUAUUGAGUCAAAUGCCCUAGAGAAAUCUAACAACACUAGAAGUGUACACAUCCCAUUGUCUUGUGCAUGGAGUAUAUUGUCAGUAACAUCAAGCAAAGCUGUUACUGUACUUCGACCUUUUCUGAAUCCUGACUGUACUUCAGGUAAAAUAUUGUUAUCUUCAAGAUAUUUUGUUAAUUGUGUACAAACAGCUUUCUCCAACACCUUUGAUAAACAUGGCAAUAUACUUAUAGGCCUAAGAUCUUUUAACUCACAUGGGUUUGGUUUUUUUGGAAUAGGCUUCACAAUUGCAGUUUUCCAUAUAUCUGGGCAUGUGGAUGUGCUAAAAGACUUAUUUAUAAUGUUUUUUAUUACCUCUAGUGUGUAUGGAAAUGUCAUAAUAAGCAUUUCCAGAGUAAUAUUAUCACAACCCUCGGCAUUUGACUUAAGGCUCUGUAUAAUUUUGUAAAUUUCAUCCAGAUCAACCAUCUCAAUGUGAAAUACAGCAUCACUGUAUUUGUGGUAUUCAUAGUAUGUCAGCUGCGAAAUACUAACAUUUGAAGAACCUGGUAUGUUUAAAAAAUGAUUAUUGAUCAUAUCAGGGUCACUAAAGUACAUUGGCCAUUCAAUAUUAUUAUUUUUAGGUAAUAAGACAUUUUUUAAGUUUUUCCAUAGUUGUUUCGGUUGAUUUAUCUUAUUAUUUAUAUGAUGUUUAAAAAAUGCAGAUUUUUCAAAGAAAAGUGCUUUAUUUACAGAUGAUUUUAAUAUUUUAUAAUACUCUUUUUUUGAAGGUAGCCUUGUCUUAUGGAAAUCCAUCAUAGCCUUAUCCCUCAGCCUCAUCAUAAUUUUAAUUGUGUCAGUUAUCCAUGGAUGGCUGGGAUCUUUGACAAUUAUAGUUUUUAUAGGCGCAUGAAUAUUAAAUAUAGUUAAUACGUUAUGGUUCAGUAACCUGACCAUUUCAUUAACAUUGUCAAGUGAUGAUAUUAAGUCCCAUUUCACACAUCUCAAAUCAUCAUCAAAAUUGUCCACACAUAUCUUGUUUUUAGGUCUGUAUGUUAUUGUUUUGGGUUUGGGUUUAUUGCAUUUAAUAUUAAAUUCACAUACAAUAAGACAGUGUCCUAAUAUAUAGCCUAAAGGCUCUACUAUAAUAUUUUUAGUGUUCAAAUCAGUGCAAACAAUAUCAAUAAGAGUUUGACUAGAUGUUGUGAAGUGAGUUGGUUCUGUAACAACUUGUGUCAAGUUAAAACAUGAAAUAAAGGUAUUUAAUUUACAUUUGUCACUGUGAUUAUUACAAAGCAUAUUAAUAUUAAAAUCUCCAAGUAAAAUCAAAUUAUCAUAAAUAGGAAUGGAACUAAUUGUAUCUGUCAAUGCAUUAAAAAAUAAGUCAAUGCUCAUCCAAGGUGGCAGAUAUGCAGUGCCAAUCACUAACUUCCUUCCAUUAAGGGUCAUUGUAAGCCACAUUUGUUCCACUGAACUAUGCAAUGGAUCUACUGGGUGACGGAGGAUAUGCACAUUCAUAUUUCUUUUGGUAUAAAACCCAACACCACCCCCUCGCGUACGCACUUGUAAAGGGCGGGGGAUGUGUCGAAGUUGGUAACUAUGCAAAGUGGGGGCCCGACCCUCUUCACCCGAUCUGAGCCAUGUCUCAUUUAUAGCCAAUAUGUCUAUAUCAUGCCUGAUGACUGAGGCUAUAAAAUUGUCAUGGUUUGUGCUAAGAGAGCCAGCAUUCAGCAAACCAAUUUUUAAAUGAUUACUAAUCAUUAUGAUUACCUGUACUAAAAUGUUUUGAUAAAGCAUACAACACACAGAAAGAUAUAAUAAUAUAUAGCUGCUCUCUUUGUAUAAAACUUAUAAGUAUAAGCUUAAAAGUUAUAGAUAAUUUUAAUAAAUAAUUUAAUAUUAA